Long non-coding RNA from Alligator mississippiensis (American alligator), 254 nucleotides. RefSeq lists it as uncharacterized. The record is from RefSeq and is a predicted model, not a curated record. NCBI's taxonomy places the organism in Eukaryota, Metazoa, Chordata, Crocodylia, Alligatoridae. The transcript is spliced from 3 exons.
AUACUCAGGACCGUUACCUGAUGCUGUGUAUGAGGAGAUUGAUUAUAACACGAUGAGGGAGAAGUUUGAGAUGUUUGGUCGCUCAGUCUCCUACUCGGAGGACUCCGUGAUGAAGCUGCAGUAUUACACUGGGGACAGCAAGCAGGGAAAUGACCUUGGAUCAGCACAAGAAAAAGCUGCCCCUGGGGAUUUCCAGCUGGAUUACGAUAGUGUGGAGGAGCCUGCACUGAGUACUGCCCAUGUACCUCCAGACA